CUAGGGCACCUGAUCAGCCAUCCGCGUGAGUGAAGAAGGCUUCGGGUUGUAAAGCUCUUUCGCAAGGGAAGAAAACUUAUGAUCGAAUAAAUCAUGAGGUUGACGGUACCUUGAUAAGAAGCACCGGCUAACUACGUGCCAGCAGCCGCGGUAAUACGUAGGGUGCGAGCGUUAAUCGGAAUUACUGGGCGUAAAGCGUGCGCAGGCGGUUUUGUAAGUCGGAUGUGAAAUCCCCGGGCUCAACCUGGGAACUGCGUUCGAAACUGCAAGGCUAGAGUGUGUCAGAGGGGGGUAGAAUUCCACGUGUAGCAGUGAAAUGCGUAGAGAUGUGGAGGAAUACCAAUGGCGAAGGCAGCCCCCUGGGAUAACACUGACGCUCAUGCACGAAAGCGUGGGGAGCAAACAGGAUUAGAUACCCUGGUAGUCCACGCCCUAAACGAUGUCAACUAGUUGUUGGUAGAGUAAAAUCUAUGAGUAACGUAGCUAACGCGUGAAGUUGACCGCCUGGGGAGUACGGUCGCAAGAUUAAAACUCAAAGGAAUUGACGGGGGCCCGGACAAGCGGUGGAUUAUGUGGAUUCAUUCGAUGGCACGCGAAAA
Molecule: ribosomal RNA, 599 nt
Filed under: uncultured bacterium
Lineage: Bacteria
Description: bacterial SSU rRNA
Rfam family: Bacterial small subunit ribosomal RNA
Source: RNAcentral